UCUCCCUAAUAAUCUUUCCUAAACUAUCACUUUAUACUCCAAAUUAAACCCAAAAAUUCUCCAUAAUGAGUCUUUGUGGAAAGCUGGAAAAGGAUGUGCCAAUUAGAGCUUCGGCUUCAAAGUUUCAUGAAAUGUUUCACAAGAAGCCUCAUCAUAUCUGCAAUUGCUCUACUGACAAAAUACACGGCGUCGAACUACAAGAAGGGGAAUGGGGCCAAGUUGGCUCCAUCAUUUGCUGGAAAUAUUUUCACGGUAGUUUAUUUUACCACUACUUUUCAUUUGUUUAAUUAAUAACUUGCGUAUGAAAUGAGUUUUCAAAUGCUUAAAACUAUAUGUUUUUUUAGAGGGUAAACAUAAAAUAGCAAAGGAGAUCGUUGAACACGUUGACGAAGAAAACAACUCAAUCACUUUCAAAGUAAUUGAAGGAGACCUUACUGAACACUACAAGGAUUUUAGGUUUACAAUCAAAUGUAUUCCAAAGGAGAAGGGAAGUGUGAUUCAUUGGGUCCUAGAAUAUGAGAAGUUGCAUGACAAGAUUCCAGAUUCACAUACUUUGCUGCAGUUUUGUGUUGACGUCUCUAAAGACAUCGAUAAACAACUUUCUGCAAAUUGAUGAACCCUAGCUAGCUAGCUAGUCAUGUUGCUGUGACAUGACAUACAAGAUUUCAGUACUCAUCAUUUCUCAGGUGUGUGUUGUUCGUUAUAUAUAAAUAAUUUGGCUCUUUACUAUGCUAAAAUUGCCAAUUCUCUAUGUUUAUGUUUUAAUAAUUUAAAUAUAUAAAGUCGUGUACGUGUGCUAUGUUUUGGAUCUUCUGUUUUAUGUGCUGUAAUGAUAAUAUCCUACUCUUUGGAAUGAAUGUGAAAUAUAGAAUAAUAUAAGCAAUUUCUAUGUACAUUGACUUGCAUCAAGGCAUCUCUACCGGGUGGACACACCUUUAGCACCAUCAUCAUUCUCGGUUCAUUAACGAUUAGAUAAAAUUACAUAAAGCAUUUGGUGUACAAAAAAGGCUACAGUGAAGCUCAAAUACCCAAAACAAAAAACAUAAGCAAUUAAACAAAAGCAUUGAUGUUUAAUACAAUAGAGUUAGUUGUGUGUGUCUGUACGCCAGUUAACGCAAGAGUAUCUUACAAACCUCAUAGAUUGUAAAAAGUUAAUUAUUUAGACGUUUAAAAAAUUAAUAUUGUCAAAACAAGUUUUGGCCUAUUAAGAAGACACACCAUUUUAUUUAGUGUUUAUGUUAGAGAUGUGUAUAUCCUCCAACCCCGAAAAUCGAAUCAUAAAAAUGUUAUAAAAUUCAACGACGAAACUUGCAACUUUUUUUUUAAACAUAAAUAAAAAAAAAUUAUCAAUCAUUUUUUAUGAAAAAACUUAAAUAUUCAACCAUGGCGUGGUUAGGUUGAAAAUUAGGUAACAUAACAAAAUAACAAUAAAUCAAUCACUAAGGCAAUAGAUUUGGCCUUGGGUUGGUGUGGUUAUAAUGGGAGCUUGGUUUUAUACUUAUUGAAAUUUUAGGUUAUCUAAAAUAUACAUGAUGAAACUUGUUAACUACGCCCGAUGUUAGAACAUUUCCAAAAACAUCACAAAUUACAAAUUUUGGUAAUCCAAUUUGGUGCAAUACCACAUGUGUUAGUAAAUCAUAAUAGAACACAAAAUAAAAGUUAAGCAAUUACAAUAAUGACUAUAUAUGUCGACAAAUACAGCUACACACUUGAAUAGCUUAACUCAAAGUACAAUAACUUAGGUUUUCUCCGUGUAUGAGAUUCUAAUCCUUCUUGAUGAAAGUUAGACUCCCUUUCUCUAAGAACGUUUAUUUUUCUACUUAUAAAUGAAGUAAUUGAUAAUCUAUGGAUAAACACGCUUGUGUUUUAGCACAAUCACAACACUAAUAUGCAUCAAAAUGGUCAACGUGUUGAAAUUGAUCAAAACCACAAUAUAUAUGGAUAGCUUUGAGAAGAUAUUCAAGGACGGAGACAAUAAAAUCCAGAAGAUCUUGCUGAUAGAUAAGGAAAAAUAAUAUUUAGGCUAUAGUACUUAAAAAUCUCAAUAUUUAAUUAAUUCUAAUUCCACGAAACAAACAUUUCUAAAUCAAUUAAUAUCUUAAAAUAACACUCAAUGAUUCCACGUAAUGAUUCUUAUCUCUAAAAUCCAAAAGUAGCAACUGGCAGGUUACACUUACAAAAUUUACUAAAGAGUUAGUAUAUAUUUGAUCGAAGUUGUGAUAACUGAAUGCUAUAGGAAUAUGAGAUAUAUUUAGAAGUCAACAUCUAAUCAAGAUUGAUUGUAUUGGUUCAAAGGAGGAGUAUUCAACUAUUCACAUAGAAAUUAAUUCUAAAGCUUCGAAAUAUCGUCGCAAAACUCAAUAAUGAUGCUUAAAUUAUUAAUAUUUGAUAAACUAGAUAGGUUCUCGAAGAUAUUAUAGUUUUUUUUUAUUAAAAGAGUAUGUUUUAAAUUUUAAAUAUCAACAUGUAAAUCAUUGGUCAAAAUUAGAUUGAUUUGUUUAAUUAAUGGCAUUAUCUUAUAAACAAAAUAGCCAAACUUAUAAAAAAAAUGAAAAAAUUUAAAAAAUGAAGUAUAUGUUGACAAGUGCUUGAAAAAAAGUAUUUAGCUUAAUUGAACCCAUUAAUUAGAUUUGAUUGAACAAAUUCACAAUCUUUGUAAAAUUUAUAUUUCAAUAGAAAGAGUUAGGAAUUUUUCCUUUUAGUCUAUCUUGUUGACAAACAACCCUUAAUUGAUUAAUUGAGGAAAUAUAAUAAACAAAAUAUCAAUUUCAUAGAAAGUGAUGAAUCAAAUAUCCUUCAUUAUUUUUCUUGAUUGAUUGAGUUGACCUGAUUUGUUUAAAUCUAUUAUUUAAGGGAUUUGGUGAUGAAUCAAAUCUCCAUGAUUUGAUUUCUAAUUAGUGAGUUGGAGGCCUAAUUUAUUGCCUCUCACUUCCACACUCCAAUGCAAAUAAAAUAAAAUAAAAACAAUUUCAUCUAUUUAAAUAGUUUUAAAUUCAUUCUUUUUCUUCUAUCUGUUUUUUUUUUUAAAUACUUUAAUUGUCUAAAUCACUCGCUCGUGGUAAUGAAAUGAGUAAUUCAUCUAUUUUAUAAGAGGUGUGGGUUUUCUUGAAUUUUUUAAUGCAGAACUCUCAACUUGUCCUCUUAAGAUAUGAUGUCUUUUUUGAGUUCAUGACUGAAUACCCAUUUGAGCUUAAUGGACUUUGACACCGUGAACAAAUUUCCAGUCUUUAUGUAUUUUUCUAUUUCAAUGAUCAAUAAAAGCAAAACUUGUCAUCAACUAGAGAUGAAUUUGUCCUUUUAAACUAUAUUGGUUUGUGAUCUAUCUUGCUUGCAAACAACCCUCAGUUGAGGGAAUAUAAUAAACAGAUUAUGAAUUUCCUAAAUUAGAUACAUAACUAAGAAAAGAUAUAUAUGGAAGACUUUUGGUGAUCAUUUGCUACAAGCUGUCAUGACACUUAUUUAUUUAUUUAUUUUGUUAUCUCUUUCUUCCCCUUAAUUUGAGUUGUGUGUGUGUCAUGUGAGAGUAGAAACUUCUCUAUAAAUGAGGUCCAAGAAGAGAUGUUCUUGGCAGUGCCUUAUCUCCCCCUAAUCUUUCCUAAAAUAUCACUUUAUACUCCAAAUUAUACCCCCAAAAAUUCAUCCUAAUGGGUGAUCUAUAUGGAAAGCUGGAAACGGAUGUGCCAAUUAAAGCUUCCGCUUCAAUGUUUCAUGAAAUAUUUCACAAGAAACCUCAUCAUAUCUCCAAUGCCUCUACUGACAAAAUACACGGUGUCGACCUACAUGAAGGCGAAUGGGGCCAAGUUGGCUCCAUCAUUUGCUGGAAAUAUUUUCACG
Molecule: long non-coding RNA, 3834 nt
Filed under: Cucumis sativus (cucumber)
Lineage: Eukaryota; Viridiplantae; Streptophyta; Magnoliopsida; Cucurbitales; Cucurbitaceae
Description: long non-coding RNA (CSAT_LNC000959)
Source: RNAcentral